Molecule: unclassified non-coding RNA, 2249 nt
Filed under: Hevea brasiliensis (rubber tree)
Lineage: Eukaryota; Viridiplantae; Streptophyta; Magnoliopsida; Malpighiales; Euphorbiaceae
Source: RNAcentral
GUUCAACCGGGAGAGCUUGGGGGUUAAUGGCAGCGCCAACGGCAACGAUCCAUGGAGGGUAUCAUCAACCCACCACUCUAGAAGAAGUCAGAACCCUUUGGAUUGGUGAUUUACAGUAUUGGGUUGAUGACAACUACCUCAGUUCCUGCUUCGCUCACACUGGCGAGGUAGUUUCAAUUAAAAUAAUACGCAACAAGAUCACUGGCCAGCCUGAAGGUUAUGGGUUUGUGGAGUUUGUUUCUCAUGCAGCGGCAGAAAGGAUUUUACAGACAUAUAAUGGGACACAAAUGCCUGGAACUGAACAAACUUUCAGGCUGAAUUGGGCUUCUUUUGGCAUUGGGGAGAGACGCCCUGAUGCUGGACCUGAGCAUUCUAUUUUUGUUGGGGACUUAGCACCUGAUGUUACAGAUUAUCUCUUGCAAGAGACAUUUCGAGCUAAUUAUCCAUCAGUUAGAGGUGCCAAGGUUGUGACUGAUCCAAGUACUGGACGUUCUAAGGGAUAUGGAUUUGUUAAAUUUGGUGAUGAGAAUGAACGAAAUCGUGCUAUGACUGAAAUGAAUGGUGUUUAUUGCUCAACCAGGCCGAUGCGUAUUAGUGCAGCAACACCAAAGAAGACCACUGGUUAUCAACAGCAAUAUACUGUAGCAAAAGCCAUAUAUCCAGUUCCAGCAUACACUACACCAGUCCAGGUGGUUACACCUGAUAGUGACAUCACUAAUACCACCAUCUUUGUUGGUAACCUGGAUCCUAAUGCCACAGAAGAGGAACUGAGACAAACAUUUUUGCAGUUUGGGGAGAUCGUCUAUGUCAAAAUUCCUGUAGGAAGAGGAUGUGGUUUUGUACAAUUUGGAACUAGGUUUGCUUAUUUUCAAUAAAUAGCAAUUUUCUUCUUUUCAUUCUUGUUCUUUUAUAAUGUUUUAUGCAGGCAAUUAUAGUGUUUGUCUAUUUAUGUAUUUAUGAUUAAGCAUUUUGUAAUUCAGUUAGAAGUUUGGUUCAUCUUUAUUUAUUUCUCUUCCACAUUGUCAUAUGGGAUUGCUUACUAUAUCUCUCUUAUCUGUUAGAGAAAAGAAGCACCAUAAGUACCAACAAUGGACAGAGACAGACAAUACCCUUUUGGAGAUGGUCAAAUAAGGGCUAGCCCCUAUUUUAUAGAAAAGUUAUAGUCAUGGUUUUCAUGUACUUUGUUUCUGUUGUGUCAUAAAAUGUUUCUGUCCUCAACGGUUUUGUUUAUACAGGACAUCUGCUGAAGAAGCCAUACAAAGGAUGCAGGGGCAUGUGAUUGGUCAACAGCCGGUGCGCAUUUCUUGGGGCAGGAAACAGGAUGCAACGGGAAUUUGGGGUCAGCAAGUAGAUCAAUGGAGUGCCUAUUAUGGUUAUGGACAAGGUUAUGAUGUCUAUGGUUAUGGGGCAACACAAGAUCCAUCAUUAUAUGCAUAUGGUGCAUAUGCUGGUUAUCCACAAUAUCCUCAACCAGUUGAUGGUGUCCAGGAUAUGAGCGGUACUGUUCCAAUUGUAGAACAAAGGGAGGAACUUUAUGAUCCCUUGGCUGCUCCUGAUGUUGACAAGUGAAGUCUAUCUCAGCUUUGUAGUUUGUCUAAGUCCUAUAUAUCUGUUUAUUGGCUAAUUAUUUUGGUUGUUUGAAUUUGGUUGUCAGGUUAAAUGCUGCUUACCUUUCUAUUCAUGGAAAUGCCAUAUUAGGCCGGCCCUUAUGGAUGAAAACAUCAUCACUUUCCCAACAAGCUUAGGCAUCAUGGCCCUUUCUCAAUUCAAACUUAUGGUAUUUGUUGAUAUUGUUCUAAAGAUUGCAGUAGACAGCUGUGUUGAGAAGUAUCCUUAGAUGAGGGAAAUCUGGUGCCUAGAGGGAGAACUAUAAAAACAUGCUCGAGAUAUGUCUAUUUUGCUCAGUGCUCACUAUGCAGGCAGAGUAAGAUUCUGGAGAGAGAACAUUUAAAUUUGAUAAACCCUUUUUUACUUGAGCAUUUAUUGUUGGAUUGUGGCUCUGUUUGUAAAGGAAAACUAGAUCCUUGGCACUUUGUGAUGGUUGGGAAGUCUCUGUUCUCUCUCAGGAAUAGCAAUUUUAGUUAUAAAAUUUUAGUUUCUAAACAGAGUUUAAAAAUUUUUAGCUAAUAUAAAACCAAUUUGUUUUCAGGCUUAUGGUUAAGGUCACAGUGUGUGAUAGUAGAAUGUGCAAAAUUUAGAAAACCUAAUAAUUUUAAGCGAGGAUUCUCAAGCAAUAAUGUAAAUGUCUG